RNAcentral lists this ribosomal RNA (163 nucleotides) under uncultured bacterium. Its description in RNAcentral is "partial 16S ribosomal RNA". It matches the Rfam family "Bacterial small subunit ribosomal RNA", at positions 340 to 522 of the family's 1533-position model. The record is from RNAcentral.
UACGGAGGCAGCAGUGGGGAUUUUCCGCAUGGGCGAAAGCCUGACGGAGCAAUGCCGCGUGAGGGAUGACGGCCUAUGGGUUGUAAACCUCUUUUUUCAGGGAGGAAUAAAUGACUGUACCUGAAGAAUAACCAUCGGCUAACUCCGUGCCAGCCGCGCGGUA